AGCGUACACGGUGGAUGCCCUGGCAGUCAGAGGCGAUGAAGGACGUGCUAAUCUGCGAUAAGCGUCGGUAAGGUGAUAUGAACCGUUAUAACCGGCGAUUUCCGAAUGGGGAAACCCAGUGUGAUUCGUCACACUAUCAUUAACUGAAUCCAUAGGUUAAUGAGGCGAACCGGGGGAACUGAAACAUCUAAGUACCCCGAGGAAAAGAAAUCAACCGAGAUUCCCCCAGUAGCGGCGAGCGAACGGGGAGCAGCCCAGAGCCUGAAUCAGUGUGUGUGUUAGUGGAAGCGUCUGGAAAGGCGCGCGAUACAGGGUGACAGCCCCGUACACAAAAAUGCACAUGCUGUGAGCUCGAUGAGUAGGGCGGGACACGUGGUAUCCUGUCUGAAUAUGGGGGGACCAUCCUCCAAGGCUAAAUACUCCUGACUGACCGAUAGUGAACCAGUACCGUGAGGGAAAGGCGAAAAGAACCCCGGCGAGGGGAGUGAAAAAGAACCUGAAACCGUGUACGUACAAGCAGUGGGAGCCUCUUUUAUGGGGUGACUGCGUACCUUUUGUAUAAUGGGUCAGCGACUUAUAUUCUGUAGCAAGGUUAACCGAAUAGGGGAGCCGAAGGGAAACCGAGUCUUAACUGGGCGUUAAGUUGCAGGGUAUAGACCCGAAACCCGGUGAUCUAGCCAUGGGCAGGUUGAAGGUUGGGUAACACUAACUGGAGGACCGAACCGACUAAUGUUGAAAAAUUAGCGGAUGACUUGUGGCUGGGGGUGAAAGGCCAAUCAAACCGGGAGAUAGCUGGUUCUCCCCGAAAGCUAUUUAGGUAGCGCCUCGUGAAUUCAUCUCCGGGGGUAGAGCACUGUUUCGGCAAGGGGGUCAUCCCGACUUACCAACCCGAUGCAAACUGCGAAUACCGGAGAAUGUUAUCACGGGAGACACACGGCGGGUGCUAACGUCCGUCGUGAAGAGGGAAACAACCCAGACCGCCAGCUAAGGUCCCAAAGUCAUGGUUAAGUGGGAAACGAUGUGGGAAGGCCCAGACAGCCAGGAUGUUGGCUUAGAAGCAGCCAUCAUUUAAAGAAAGCGUAAUAGCUCACUGGUCGAGUCGGCCUGCGCGGAAGAUGUAACGGGGCUAAACCAUGCACCGAAGCUGCGGCAGCGACGCUUAUGCGUUGUUGGGUAGGGGAGCGUUCUGUAAGCCUGUGAAGGUGUGCUGUGAGGCAUGCUGGAGGUAUCAGAAGUGCGAAUGCUGACAUAAGUAACGAUAAAGCGGGUGAAAAGCCCGCUCGCCGGAAGACCAAGGGUUCCUGUCCAACGUUAAUCGGGGCAGGGUGAGUCGACCCCUAAGGCGAGGCCGAAAGGCGUAGUCGAUGGGAAACAGGUUAAUAUUCCUGUACUUGGUGUUACUGCGAAGGGGGGACGGAGAAGGCUAUGUUGGCCGGGCGACGGUUGUCCCGGUUUAAGCGUGUAGGCUGGUUUUCCAGGCAAAUCCGGAAAAUCAAGGCUGAGGCGUGAUGACGAGGCACUACGGUGCUGAAGCAACAAAUGCCCUGCUUCCAGGAAAAGCCUCUAAGCAUCAGGUAACAUCAAAUCGUACCCCAAACCGACACAGGUGGUCAGGUAGAGAAUACCAAGGCGCUUGAGAGAACUCGGGUGAAGGAACUAGGCAAAAUGGUGCCGUAACUUCGGGAGAAGGCACGCUGAUAUGUAGGUGAAGCGACUUGCUCGUGGAGCUGAAAUCAGUCGAAGAUACCAGCUGGCUGCAACUGUUUAUUAAAAACACAGCACUGUGCAAACACGAAAGUGGACGUAUACGGUGUGACGCCUGCCCGGUGCCGGAAGGUUAAUUGAUGGGGUUAGCGCAAGCGAAGCUCUUGAUCGAAGCCCCGGUAAACGGCGGCCGUAACUAUAACGGUCCUAAGGUAGCGAAAUUCCUUGUCGGGUAAGUUCCGACCUGCACGAAUGGCGUAAUGAUGGCCAGGCUGUCUCCACCCGAGACUCAGUGAAAUUGAACUCGCUGUGAAGAUGCAGUGUACCCGCGGCAAGACGGAAAGACCCCGUGAACCUUUACUAUAGCUUGACACUGAACAUUGAGCCUUGAUGUGUAGGAUAGGUGGGAGGCUUUGAAGUGUGGACGCCAGUCUGCAUGGAGCCGACCUUGAAAUACCACCCUUUAAUGUUUGAUGUUCUAACGUUGACCCGUAAUCCGGGUUGCGGACAGUGUCUGGUGGGUAGUUUGACUGGGGCGGUCUCCUCCUAAAGAGUAACGGAGGAGCACGAAGGUUGGCUAAUCCUGGUCGGACAUCAGGAGGUUAGUGCAAUGGCAUAAGCCAGCUUGACUGCGAGCGUGACGGCGCGAGCAGGUGCGAAAGCAGGUCAUAGUGAUCCGGUGGUUCUGAAUGGAAGGGCCAUCGCUCAACGGAUAAAAGGUACUCCGGGGAUAACAGGCUGAUACCGCCCAAGAGUUCAUAUCGACGGCGGUGUUUGGCACCUCGAUGUCGGCUCAUCACAUCCUGGGGCUGAAGUAGGUCCCAAGGGUAUGGCUGUUCGCCAUUUAAAGUGGUACGCGAGCUGGGUUUAGAACGUCGUGAGACAGUUCGGUCCCUAUCUGCCGUGGGCGCUGGAGAACUGAGGGGGGCUGCUCCUAGUACGAGAGGACCGGAGUGGACGCAUCACUGGUGUUCGGGUUGUCAUGCCAAUGGCACUGCCCGGUAGCUAAAUGCGGAAGAGAUAAGUGCUGAAAGCAUCUAAGCACGAAACUUGCCCCGAGAUGAGUUCUCCCUGACUCCUUGA
RNAcentral lists this ribosomal RNA (2787 nucleotides) under Escherichia coli. Its description in RNAcentral is "bacterial LSU rRNA". It matches the Rfam family "Bacterial large subunit ribosomal RNA". The record is from RNAcentral. Lineage: Bacteria; Pseudomonadati; Pseudomonadota; Gammaproteobacteria; Enterobacterales; Enterobacteriaceae.